RNAcentral lists this ribosomal RNA (254 nucleotides) under uncultured bacterium. Its description in RNAcentral is "partial 16S ribosomal RNA". It matches the Rfam family "Bacterial small subunit ribosomal RNA", at positions 524 to 776 of the family's 1533-position model. The record is from RNAcentral.
UACGUAGGGUGCAAGCGUUAAUCGGAAUUACUGGGCGUAAAGCGUGCGCAGGCGGUUAUGCAAGACAGAUGUGAAAUCCCCGGGCUUAACCUGGGAACUGCAUUUGUGACUGCAUAGCUGGAGUACGGCAGAGGGGGAUGGAAUUCCGGCGUGUAGCAGUGAAAUGCGUAGAUAUGCGGAGGAACACCGAUGGCGAAGGCAGUCCCCUGGGCCUGUACUGACGCUCAUGCACGAAAGCGUGGGGAGCAAACAGG